AUAGAGGAGAGAUUUGUAUGCUUGCAACCUCGAUAAAAAAAUGCUAAAACUAUAU
This 55-nucleotide non-coding RNA is filed under the name human oral metagenome. The record is from RNAcentral.